This is a long non-coding RNA of Pollicipes pollicipes, 331 nucleotides long. RefSeq lists it as uncharacterized. The transcript is spliced from 3 exons. The record is from RefSeq and is a predicted model, not a curated record. Lineage: Eukaryota; Metazoa; Arthropoda; Thecostraca; Pollicipedomorpha; Pollicipedidae.
UGGCGGCCAAUAAGCUGCCGUCGGCGGCGCUGGCGGCGCUGUUGGGGGCGGGGCCAGGGGAGCGCGACACGGCAGACCGGCUGCUGGAGGCGACGAUUGGUGCGCGCGGCGGCCCAGCCGACGCUGCCUGGGAGGAACUGGACCACCACACCGACCUCGUCCAGGUGGCCGAGUCGUGUCUGGACCAGGACGUGGUGGUGGGCACUGUCGCCUUCCGCCUGCUGGAGGAGCGGCUUCUGGCGCACAGCGAACGGACCCCGACGCCGAACCAGUGGUCGGCGCUGCUGCCGCUGCUGCAGGCCGGCCUCUGCUCCGGAGACGCCGCCGUCAG